CUUCAUCUACCCCCCUGCGGCCUCCGCUUCCGCCAUCGCCGGGGUGCGCGUCACUUCCUGGAGACCGCCCGCGCUUCCGGGGCCGUCCGAAAGUCUGCAUCACUGAUGUUUCAUCUGCAUUGUGACAGGCCCAGGGAGCUGGCUGGAGCACUCCAAGUUUGGAGCCGGUACAAGCUGUCCCCGCUGCAGGAAUGACAGAUUUCUCUGCUUUGCCUUCUCUUUGCAAGGUUUCAGAAUCCCUCCUUCCUGGGACAUGCUGAGAAUUUAUUCAUCCAUUGUUGCACGAGGAGA
This is a long non-coding RNA of Chelonoidis abingdonii (Abingdon island giant tortoise), 291 nucleotides long. RefSeq lists it as uncharacterized. The record is from RefSeq and is a predicted model, not a curated record. NCBI's taxonomy places the organism in Eukaryota, Metazoa, Chordata, Testudines, Testudinidae.